CCGCGGUGACCCUAGAAGCGCUAAAUGGUGCUGAUGUGUGUUCUUAGGAAUGUUCUCAACCUUCAAAGUUCAAAAGGCUCACGUGAUGGUGUCUAUGCAACGUGUGCGCAUCCGUGAGGACGUGGUAUCUGCAUCCGCGUGGCCAGCGUGUCCCUCUAGAAACAAACAGGCCCCUCCCGUCCUCCACGGCGCUGUGGUCCAGGCACCCCCUCAUCAGCGCUGCAGGCCCCGGCAUCUGAGCAGCCAUUCCUGCAGGAAGCCCCUGAGGCUUGGGGUGGCCGUUGCCACCACAUGGUCCUGCCAGCCUCACUGGGGCGUCUCCUGCCUGCAGCUUCGGCCCAUCCACCACACUCAGCUACCGUGUCGGUCAUCACGAGCCAGUUAUCACCGGCCAGUUAUUACAGGCCAGUCAUCACGAGCUGGUCAUCACUCUCUAAGCCGCUGUCUGGGAACUUUUCCUCCCCGAUCUCCUCUUCAUAUUGCAUCACCCGUGGGACUGGAUCAGGGUCCACCCCAACAACCUUGUUUUACCUUGACAGACUCAUUAAAGACCCCUUUUCUGAAUGCAAU
This 570-nucleotide long non-coding RNA is filed under the name Macaca mulatta (Rhesus monkey). RNAcentral describes it as "lncRNA (ENSMMUG00000055929.1)". Lineage: Eukaryota; Metazoa; Chordata; Mammalia; Primates; Cercopithecidae. The record is from RNAcentral.